GUAGGAAUACCCCCGUUAGCCGGCUUUUAUAGCAAAUUCUAUUUGUUCUUCGCCGCUUUGGGUUGUGGGGCUUACUUCCUAGCCUCAGUGGGAGUAGUGACUAGCGUUAUAGGUUGUUGGGCGGCCAGAAGGUUGCCACGAAUCAGUCAGUUUGGGGGACCUAAGGCAGUUCUCCGUGCACCUGACACGUAGCUUACCGAAUCAGUUGCGACACCGAUGGGAAUGCAUGCUACGAAAGAUAGGGUCGAGUCUGAAACAUCAACCAUCUACUCAAUAUCCUUGUACGAGUCCACAAUCACUACACGAGAUGAACCUUGGUUUGGUGAAUUGAAGUUUGCCUUAGGUGUAAAAAAAAAAAAAAGGACUCCUAGUUACUGUGCACAAUCGUAUACUGAGGUGCUCCCCGCCGGUUGUUGGAACGACGCGAGCCGGGCCUCCAUUCAGAAAGAUGAAG
Molecule: long non-coding RNA, 454 nt
Filed under: Medicago truncatula (barrel medic)
Lineage: Eukaryota; Viridiplantae; Streptophyta; Magnoliopsida; Fabales; Fabaceae
Description: lncRNA gene10285
Source: RNAcentral